GCACCAUUAUUUGUCUCUCACUGCAGAAGCAAAAGCACCACUAUUCCAUUAGGGGUGUGAUGCUUUCUUAUUACUCCUCUUUGUGGCUUAGGGAUGAUUUAUUUAUCACAAAUAUACACCUGGCCACUCUGUCUUCAGGUGUUUCUGCAAAUAAAAUAACUAGUGUAUUGCCUUUUUUUCUAAGCCAGUUUUGGGGCUCAAACUCAGGCCUGCGUGCUAUCCCUGAGCUUCCUUUGCUCAAGGCCAGUGCUCUACCACUUGAGGCCACAGCUCCAC
Long non-coding RNA from Perognathus longimembris pacificus (Pacific pocket mouse), 276 nucleotides. RefSeq lists it as uncharacterized. The record is from RefSeq and is a predicted model, not a curated record. The transcript has 3 exons. NCBI's taxonomy places the organism in Eukaryota, Metazoa, Chordata, Mammalia, Rodentia, Heteromyidae.